GCUAGUAAUGGCAGGUCAGCAUACUGCCGUGAAUACGUUCCCGGGCCUUGUACACACCGCCCGUCACACCAUGAGAGUUGGGAAUACCCGAAGCCUGUGAGCUAACGUAAGAGGCAGCAGUCGAAGGUAGAAUCAAUGAUUGGGGUGAAGUCGUAACAAGGUAGC
This 165-nucleotide ribosomal RNA is filed under the name uncultured bacterium. RNAcentral's name for it is "partial 16S ribosomal RNA". It matches the Rfam family "Bacterial small subunit ribosomal RNA", at positions 1334 to 1500 of the family's 1533-position model. The record is from RNAcentral.